GAGAACAAGAGCUUGAACGUAUGAUUUUACCUUUGCUUGGAAACUAUUUGCACAUCAAUGCAUUAUUAACACUCUGGUUUAUAAAUAAACAGAUACUCCAAUCUAGACUUGUGUUGGCAUCACCUGAGACUGCCACUGAUGGUGAUUAUGCUGCAAUUUUGGGUGUCGCUGGACAUGAGAGUAACUUGCCGUGAUUGGUUCCAGCUAACCCUGAGAGAAGGGAUAACUGUCUUCAGGGAUCAGGAGUGCUCGUCAGAUCUCGGCUAUCGUACAGUAAAACGCAUCGCUGAUGUCUCCAAACUCAGAAUCUAUCAAUUUCCUCAGGAUGCUGGUCCUAUGGCACAUCCUAUUCGUCCCCAUUCCUAUAUCAAGGUACUAAUGCUCGAAUUGUUCAAUCAUUUGAAUUCAGUUACUCUGUUGCUUGCAACCAGCUUAAAGAUAUGGUGUAUAACUUAUUUAAUUUGACUGGCAAAUGGACAACUUCUAUACUGCUGAGUUUCUGUCUAUAAAGUUUGCGGCAUACAGUGAGAUGUACAAAGCCAUCAACUUAUUAUAAUCCAUUCCCUCUUGCACUGGAACAUCAUCGUUGAAUCUUCCCUGGUGACUUUGAUUAUGAACAACUUGGCAGUCACGGUUUCCAAAGGCAUGAUGGACAAGCUGUCACUUGUGAAUACUUCUAUGCAGCGAUGUGUGAUGCAAAUAAUGCACAACUACCAAAUUUUUACAAUGGUAGUAGACAGCUAUCUUUCAACCAUGUUACUUGUUGAAAGUACUAUCUAACUGCGAAAGAACCAUCCAAUAGAUACUCUCAAGCAGGUACGCCUACAGUCAGGGUGGCAUCUUCAUAUGAGCCAGACAGCGGAUGCUUGGACAUGGAGCCGGUUGCACGUGAUCGUGUGGAGGCACUUGUGAUUCUUCUAGGCUUUAGACUACUUUGUAAUUGACGCAUAAAAACUCCUGCCAUGGCAGUGACAUGCCAGACUCCAUCACGAAGGCUAAGGCUCUUUGAUCUGAACGUUCCUAUAGAAGAAGAUGACAAUGGCAAUCUUGCCUUCAAUCUCAACGAGCCAAUAUUGGAGGAUCACAACGACAAUGGAUUGGAUUUGAACUUGCCACUAGACGAAUAUGGUGCAGUUGAUUUCGAUUUUGUACAAAACCUCGCUGAACAUGUUGUUGUUGCUCCCGUUGAAGUAAACCAUCGAAGGAAAGAUAUGACAGAAGAAGUCAAAAGAUAAGUGUAUCAAGCAUUGUUGGCUAGAAGUAAGAAUGGGAAACUAGGCAAGAAAGAUACAAGAUUUGUUGCUGAUCAAUUUGGAGUACACAUUUGGUCAGUUCAGCGCUUAUGGAAGCGAGAGUGUUUUGAAGGAAGCCAUGAAGGUUAAAGAAUGCAACAAGAUCAAGAUUCCUCACAUGCAAAAAGAAAAAUUAGAGAAAGAAGAUCGGCUGCCAUUGCAAAUCUUCUGUGAAGCGUCCUUGCUACCUGAAGCAAUUGCUAGUCUUCCUGCAUCAAACAAUUUGAAGAUGCAAGUUAGUUAGGAGCAAAUUAGAAGAAGCAAUUUAGGAGAUGCAUGCAUCUUAGGUUGAAUGAAUGAGACAUGUAACCUUACUGAUCUUUCUUUGCAUCUUUCAUGGCACCAUCCACCAUCGCUAUCUCCAUGGAGGCAUCCUGCUUCAUCUUCAAUUGCUCGUCCAACUUCUUCAUAAUGUGCUCAUGCACAAGUAUGGUGUCACCAUCCAUUUGAAGCUUCUCCACAUCAGGA
Long non-coding RNA from Setaria italica (foxtail millet), 1760 nucleotides. RefSeq lists it as uncharacterized. NCBI's taxonomy places the organism in Eukaryota, Viridiplantae, Streptophyta, Magnoliopsida, Poales, Poaceae. The transcript has 10 exons. The record is from RefSeq and is a predicted model, not a curated record.